CACGUAGGGUGCGAGCGUUGUCCGGAAUUAUUGGGCGUAAAGAGCUCGUAGGCGGUGUGUCGCGUCGGCCGUGAAAACCUGCAGCUUAACUGUGGGCUUGCGGUCGAUACGGGCAUCACUGGAGUUCGGCAGGGGAGACUGGAAUUCCUGGUGUAGCGGUGAAAUGCGCAGAUAUCAGGAGGAACACCGGUGGCGAAGGCGGGUCUCUGGGCCGAUACUGACGCUGAGGAGCGGAAGCGUGGGGAGCGAACAGG
Molecule: ribosomal RNA, 254 nt
Filed under: uncultured bacterium
Lineage: Bacteria
Description: partial 16S ribosomal RNA
Rfam family: Bacterial small subunit ribosomal RNA
Source: RNAcentral